This 21-nucleotide non-coding RNA is filed under the name Caenorhabditis elegans. Lineage: Eukaryota; Metazoa; Nematoda; Chromadorea; Rhabditida; Rhabditidae. The record is from RNAcentral.
UUUUACACACAAUUGGUUUUC